ACCUCGCGCCAUUAGAUGAGCCGUAGGUCGGAUUAGCUAGGUUGGUGAGGUAAUGGCUCACCAAGGCGACGAUCUGUAACUGGUCUGAGAGGAUGAUCAGUCACACUGGAACUGAGACACGGUCCAGACUCCUACGGGAGGCAGCAGUGGGGAAUUUUGGACAAUGGGCGCAAGCCUGAUCCAGCAAUGCCGCGUGCAGGAUGAAGGCCUUCGGGUUGUAAACUGCUUUUGUACGGAACGAAACGGUGAGCUCUAAUACAGUUUGCUAAUGACGGUACCGUAAGAAUAAGCACCGGCUAACUACGUG
RNAcentral lists this ribosomal RNA (307 nucleotides) under uncultured bacterium. RNAcentral's name for it is "bacterial SSU rRNA". It matches the Rfam family "Bacterial small subunit ribosomal RNA", at positions 210 to 507 of the family's 1533-position model. The record is from RNAcentral.